Long non-coding RNA from Daktulosphaira vitifoliae (grape phylloxera), 545 nucleotides. RefSeq lists it as uncharacterized. The record is from RefSeq and is a predicted model, not a curated record. The transcript is spliced from 3 exons. Lineage: Eukaryota; Metazoa; Arthropoda; Insecta; Hemiptera; Phylloxeridae.
UUAAAAAUUGCCGUAUGAUAGAUCUUGUUUACAUGUACAACUUAAUUGUAUCACGUAAACAAGAUGAAUGUUCAUUACCUAUCUUAAUUUUAUUUGGAUGGCAAGACCGUAGAUGAAUAUUCAGAGUGGUAUUUAUAAUUUUUAAAUAAUAAGUUUGUUUUUGUUGUAAGUUAAUUUUUUUUUUUCAUAUUUUGUGUAUAAUAUUAAUAAUAAUACAUUAAUGCUAACAUAAUUAGCAAUUAUUUCUAGUGUUAUGCAUGUUAAUGGAUGAAGUAUAGAAACAGUGAUUGAUAGUCAAAGCAAACCAACACAAUUACAGUCCCGUCUUUUGACUUACGUAAUGAAAUUGAAGCAUCAGCCACGUUCCCCGCUAAUACAACUGCAUAUGCUCUAGUAAUUUCAGACAAUUUAUGAAUAUUGACGGCAGCGCAAUAAAAACGUUGGGCUUGUUGUGGAAUCCAUGUGAUGAUUAUUAUCAAUACAAAUAUAAUAACAUCGAAUCAAGUAAACAAUCAAUUUCUAAACGUACAAUAUUAUCUACUAUA